ACCCCGAAAUGCCGGGAGCACAUGCCCCACCGUCCUUAUCCAAAUCUACUCCCUCAAGUUCAUUAUGGAGAUUCAGACCAACAAGUUGUACUCUUACGUAAUUCCAUCCAUUUAUUUAUCAUCGAAUGGACUGUUCAUCAUAACAAGAUUCAUUUUAAAAAUCAAGUGAAUAAAUUUAAUUUACCACGAGGGAGCAGCAACGCCCUGUCUUUCGGAAAGAAGCGCGUCUAUACUCCGUUAACCCGCUGGCUACUGCGAUGUUGGCUCCUAGAAGGAGGUUCAAGCCAGAAAGUUCCAGAUUUUGCAGAAUCAUUCCCCUCGGAUAAAGUGAGAAAAGACAACACAAAACUGGUCAGGGAUUUAUAUCAAUAAAUAAAAGUCAUAUCAAGUAAUUAGUCACCCUGUCGUCGUGGUGACCAGGCUGCGUGUGUGCGUAUGAAAGCCUCUCCGCUUUUAAAAUGGGAACAUAAACAUGGGCUAGCAGGCAUUCACCCUAUGCUUCGGACUGCUGCCACUUGAGCAUGAUGAAUUGGUGGAGAAAUGUAAAUAAUGUACAGUGGUGCCUGCGGUUCACGAACGCUGUGACUUACGAACAAUUUGGUUCACGACCAAAAAUUUAGUGCGAAAAUGCAUCGGUUCGCGUACAAAAUUUGGCCGACGACCAGAUUCCUUUUUUUAUACUAGUGUAGUAGCGGCGGGGCGCAUAUCCCAGCAUGCCCCGCGUGCAAUUGUAAAUAGAAGGAUCGGAACAGGCACCCAAAGAGCAAUGAUCCCAAAUAAACAAACGGGAAACACAAGGUUGUAAGACGCCGAACUGCAAAAUGCACAUACGGUGGAAGAUUUACACACACUAAAUACACGCGAGGAUCGGACCGGGUACGUACAAGACACGGGACAGUAUGGAAAUGCAAUCAUUAACAUCAACAAUAUAAGGGUAAAGUACUGUUAAAGAUCGUGAUUUCCUCGGCAAGCAAGUCUCUAUGUCUCUCUCUGCUCCAGCGAUGCAUCAGUCCGCCCAUCCCACACUAUAUUGUGUUUUUCUUUAAAGUUUUUACUAUAAAAACCCGAAAAUUAAUUAACAAAAAUUAUUUGGUAGGCUUGUGAACGAAUUAAUCGACUUUCAAUGCUUUCUUAUGGGGAAAAUUCGCGUACAAAUUUCCUUGCAGGCACCACUGUACUACUAGGGCCAUGAACAAAAUGAAAUUCCGUGCUCCACCAGUAGAGGGCUAUUUGUUUAUCAUACUUCGGGAGUGAUUUCUUAAUAGGGGUUGUACAGUGGCUCGUUGAGUAGCUCUGUUGCCGUCCGUUUUACUGGGCUGGAGGGUUGAAUCCCACAUCUGCUGUGCUACGCAAGUUUUUUUUUUUUGAGUACUCUGGUUUCUUCUUACAGUUCAGAAAGAUGCAAUUUGGCUAAAUGACAUUUCGCUCGUAGUAGGUGAGUUUGUAUCUUUAAAUUGCAAUCCUGGCAUUCCAUUCAGUAUGUGCCCUAUGUUGUCUGGGAUAGGUUCCAGGCGUCCCCUUGACCCUGAAUAAGAUGGCUGCAUUUCCUAGCAUUUUUCAUGGUCACACAUCAUUACUUAUAAUAGUCCUAGUAACCAAACUGGCACAAUUUGGAGGAAUGGAGUGACAUUCUUUUUCAACUGUUCCACACUAUUAUUGACUUUGAAGUCAACUUUAUUUCUUUUACCCAAACAAUGCCAGACAGUCCAGAAUCACAUCCUGUCUUAGCAUUGUGUGUAAUAGCACAUCCACAGUGAACCAAUACAUUCAAUUCAAUUAUAUUAUAUUUGUAUUGUGUGUUUUCAUAACAUUACAUUGUCUCAAAGGACUUUACAGCAUUCUCACUGAAAUCACCCACUGAGCAAGCUAGAGGUGACAGUGGCAAGGAAAAACUCCCUAGAAGGAAGAAACCUUGGGAGGAACCAGAGUCAAAGGGGGAGCCCAUCCUCCAGGGGGCAGCAGAGGAAGCCCUAACCCUAACCAGAGUCAAAAGGGGAGCCCAUCCUCCAGGGGGCAGCAGAGGAAGCCCUAACCCUAACCAGACCCAAAGGGGGAGCCCAUCCUCCAGAAGGCAGCAGAGGAAGCCCUAACUCUAACCAGACCCAAAGGGGGAGCCCAUCCUCCAGGGGGCGGCAGAGGAAGCCCUAACCCUAACCAUAUUCCAUGGGGGAGCCCAUCCUCCAGGGGGCAGCAGAGGAAGCCCUAACCCUAACCAGACCCAAAGGGGAGCCCAUCCUCCAGGGGGCAGCAGAGGAAGCCCUAACCCUAAUCAGACCCAAAGGGGGAGCCCAUCCUCCAGAAGGCAGCAGAGGAAGCCCUAACCCUAACCAGACCCAAAGGGGGAGCCCAUCCUCCAGGGGGCAGCAGAGGAAGCCCUAACCCUAAUCAGACCCAAAGGGGGAGCCCAUCCGCCAAGGGGGCAGCAGAGGAAGCCCUAACCCUAACCAGACCCAAAGGGGGAGCCCAUCCUCCAGGGGGCAGCAGAGGAAGCCCUAACCCUAACCAGACCCAAAGGGGGAGCCCGUCCUCCAGGGGGCAGCAGAGGAAGCCCUAACCCUAAUCAGACCCAAAGGGGGAGCCCAUCCUCCAGGGGGCGGCAGAGGAAGCCCUAACCCAAACCAGACCCAAAGGGGGAGCCCAUCCUCCAGGGGGCGGCAGAGGAAGCCCUAACCCAAACCAGACCCAAAGGGGGAGCCCAUCCUCCAGGGGGCGGCAGAGGAAGCCCUAACCCUAACCAGACCCAAAGGGGGAGCCCAUCCUCCAGGGGGCAGCAGAGGAAGCCCUAACCCUAACCAGAGUCAAAGGGGAGCCCAUCCUCCAGGGGGCAGCAGAGGAAGCCCUAACCCUAACCAGACCCAAAGGGGAGCCCAUCCUCCAGGGGGCAGCAGAGGAAGCCCUAACCCUAACCAGAGUCAAAGGGGAGCCCAUCCUCCAGGGGGCAGCAGAGGAAGCCCUAACCCUAACCAGACCCAAAGGGGGAGCCCAUCCUCCAGGGGGCAGCAGAGGAAGCCCUAACCCUAACCAGACCCAAAGGGGAGCCCAUCCUCCAGGGGGCAGCAGAGGAAGCCCUAACCCUAACCAGACCCAAAGGGGAGCCCAUCCUCCAGGGGGCAGCAGAGGAAGCCCUAACCCUAACCAGACUCAAAGGGGGAGCCCAUCCUCCAGGGGGCAGCAGAGGAAGCCCUAACCCUAACCAGAAGCAAUGGGGGAGCCCAUCCUCCAGGGGGCAGCAGAGGAAGCCCUAACCCUAACCAGACCCAAAGGGGGAGCCCAUCCUCCAGGGGGCAGCAGAGGAAGCCCUAACCCUAACCAGAAGCAAUGGGGGAGCCCAUCCUCCAGGGGGCAGCAGAGGAAGCCCUAACCCUAACCAGACCCAAAGGGGAGCCCAUCCUCCAGGGGGCAGCAGAGGAAGUCGAAUGAGCAAAAUGGGGAAGUCCCACAUCACAUUUUCUCAAUCUUAACAUUUGAGUCUCAAAGGGACCAAACAGGUGAUAUCAGACAGUUUUUGGUGCUGCUUCAUAUUGCAGGACAAACAGUGGUACAGCAGCAGGGCAUGCAGGGAAGAUGUCAUGGGCAGAAGGGCAAACAGGCUGGAAUGACACCACAGGCAGUGGGGACGUCACAGGCAGCAGGGUAAACAGAAUAUCUUGAUAAUUAAAGAGUCUCCAGGCAGAACACCCCAGGAGGAGUAGGGGAAGUAAAAUGUGCAGUUAACCAAAGUAGGUGAGUGCAGUAUGUAAGCUCCGGCAAAUAAGGCUAUAGAGGCAUAAGUAGGAGGGAGAGGCAGGUGGGAAUGCAGGCAUGGGGAGUCCCUGAAAUGUCAGCCCUCCAAUUCCAGGAGGGAGUGUGAAGCUAGAGUGACAGACUGACAGUUCAGUUUAUCCAAAGUCAAUGGCACCGAUCUCCACCCAGCUCUACAGCUCACACUGUAGGCCUGACUGAGUAGAGCUAGAACUAGAGUCCCUAUAAGCUACACUAAACAAGUGUGUUUUUAGUCUAGACUUGAAUAUCAAGAGCAAGCCUGAAUCUCGCACAUCCACUGGGAGGCUAUUCCACAGCUGAGGAGCUCUAUAAGAGAAUGCUCUGCAGCCUGCCGUAGUUCCACCCUCGGUACUAAUAGAUCUAGACGGGCUUAUUUGUGUGUAGCCUGCAGCUGUGCUUGCUUUAAUUAAUGAAACAAAAAUGUGACUAAAAGUGACAAAAAAUACACAUCGGUUAACAACGGUCAUUUAAGUCUUUAAAAACAUUUGCGCUAAUGAUGUAAUUGUUGCCCCAUGCUGGACUGUACCUAGAAAUCUUGGGUCUGCUGACAGAAUGUUACUUUUGUUACCCCUGAGUGCAUGUGAGUUGCAGAUAUUUCCUACACUAAUAAAAGAAUGUCAAUUACACAGUGCAUAAUAAAAUGUUUAAUGUACUGGUGGUGAACCUUCCCACUUCCCAGAGGCUUGCUGCUGUUCUGGAGUUUGUUAUCAUAUUCAGCUUUAGUAGCUUUUGUGAUAACGGGAAUCUGUGUUUUUUCUGUGGGGUGUUAGGUGUUGUGCAAUUUUUGUAAUACUUUAUGCACAGAAACUGGAGAAUCACAAGAAAAUGUUCAAGUGAGUUUAGGAAGCCGAACUGUUUAAAUGCAAAAUGGGGAAUGAUGGCAAUACGGAUUAACUUACUCCGGUCCAGCCUGCAGUUUUGAAUUCUUUAGUCCCACAAAUAAGUGGGGGUCCACGGCACUUUCAUAUAGUUUGUACAAUGAGCUUAGUGACAGAACAAUGGCCGUAAUGAAAACAAAAGUCAGGGUAAAGUCCACACAUGUAAUGGACUUUUCCUUUAAGUCCACCUUACUGGAUUUAACUGAUUGGACUUUCUAAACAGCCAAGCCCACUUAAUUGGAAUUUUUUACCAUAUAAAAAUACUUAGCCGUCGCCUAAGCUGAUCUUGUUAUUUAUGCGUCUUCAGGGUUAAGCAGAAAGGCUUUGAUUGGCUUUUGGCUGUUCUUUAAGAGUUACUGGCAGCAGCCCAGCAAGCUCCGCAGCUGUUUCGGCCGCUCUCCACCCACAGCCCACUCCCUUAAGGCUCCCUGAGCUGAGGGGCUCCUAUUCAGCGCCCUGCAGAUUUUCCCACAGAAAGAAAAACAACUGUUUCGCUAUUGCUGCCAUUUUCUUCUUCCAUCCAAAGACUAACAUAGAAAAAUGGCCUCCAGGGUCAAAUACUGUCCCUUAUGACCUGAAGAGGAAAACAUCUCACAGGGUUUCUGCCACAGUUGACUGAGUAUUAUUCCAGACAUUUCUACAGUAAAAACCAAAACCUACAGACACAAAUUUGCUUCACGUGCUGUUUAGUUAUUGUUCUCCUAUUCAGAAAUGAGUAUAUUCCAGUAAACAGCAGUUAAAUAUGCGUCUUUCGGGUUAAGCAGAAAGGUUUGAUUGGCUCUCGGCUGAUCAUUAUAUUUUCAUUCAGUGCAGCAUGUGUAUGUCUCACCUAGUAGUGACCUGUCAUGUUUUGAAGAUGGACUGGCAAUGGAUAUUUGGUGACCCAUAGUCACUUUAGCUAAUGUAAGCUAAAUGAGUUCACUUAGUGAGGAACCAGUUCAGGAAUGCAUCCAUGGAAUGUAAAUUGUGCUAUUUUUAACUUAAAUUAAUUUGUUUUGCUAUCAAACCCAAACAGACACCUUGCUCAAUACCUCAAACCCCAACCUGCUGUUUAUUAGGAAAAACGUUUUUUAAAUUGAAGGUUAUUCUGUGACUGUAUGUGAGUCUCAGUCACAGUUUUUUGUAUUUUUUCUCUAUUUUUCAAAUACAUUUAUUUGAGCUUUUCUGUUAAAUAAAUGCAUUGUUUCAAGCGCUAAUAAAUGUAUCAAAGCC
Molecule: long non-coding RNA, 5852 nt
Organism: Brienomyrus brachyistius
Lineage: Eukaryota; Metazoa; Chordata; Actinopteri; Osteoglossiformes; Mormyridae
Exons: 2
Source: RefSeq, a predicted model, not a curated record